This is a long non-coding RNA of Numida meleagris (helmeted guineafowl), 1399 nucleotides long. RefSeq lists it as uncharacterized. The transcript is spliced from 3 exons. The record is from RefSeq and is a predicted model, not a curated record. Lineage: Eukaryota; Metazoa; Chordata; Aves; Galliformes; Numididae.
ACAAUUUCUAGCAUUUUUAACUGCCUCUUGCUCAGGCAGGAAACAAAACAUCCCUUCCCCAGUAUGUCUCUGAAAGGUCAUAUCACUAAGUGUGGUCUUGGGAAAGCUACAGGAAUAACAUGUGAUGGUCACUAGAGGUGUGACUUUGGGCUAAGCAGCUGGGGGCUGAAAAUUCUUAUGUUACUUUAUCCCAAAUUUUUCUAGCUUUGCUAUCAGUAUAGAGCUCAGAAAAGACUGCUGCCAAACUGUUAUUUGGUUGAGGGUUUUUUUUUUUUGCUUUCAUUUUAUUUUUUGUUAUCUAACAGGUUUUACCAGCAUCUUGGCUUCUUACUCACUAAACACAUUAAAACUCACAUUUGCUCUGCAAUCACUGCUGGCCAUUCCAUCUUUUAUGCCUCACUGGAGUCAGGUUUGUAGAUGGAAGAAGCCUUUCAGGAGUACAGCUGCAGCAUUUUGGGUUGUUCUGGGUCUGCUGAAAACUAUCACUUAACAGCAUGAUGGUGUCACAGCUGAUAGCUAAAGCCCAUCAUCACAUGUUUAAAAGCCCUCAAUGCAGUUGAACCUUAUCAGGCACCUGAUUUUUAGUUUCUACUUGAGAAUAGUUAGUCUAUGUAAGAAUAGCAGCUGAUCUUACUGGCUACCUGUGGUCCUGAUCCUGCCUUGGACCAGCAGCACUGGGUAAGGACCAGAGGCCAGAUACGUAGCAGCCUGACUGCAGCUGGGAGUGACUGGCAGCACUGGGUCCCAGGGAGACAUUGCUGCCCCACACGAGCAUGACCUGUUAUGCUAUGGCUGAACCAAAAUGGUCCCAGGAAGAGCGAUAAAGUAACCACAGCAUAUUUUGCAGUACCUUCUUAUUGAAAAUGAUCGUGACUGCUGGGCAACCAAUUUAUGUCAGCCCCAUGAGAAUUCCUUAAGUUCAGCAGCACAUUGCUGAGAAGAUUAAAGACUUUUUGGUGCUGUGAAAGAAAAGACUGUACUGGAUGAAAAUUAGGACAUCAUAGUUCUAUUUUUUUCUGAUGAAAUCUGUUCUAAAAUAAUUUGUACACGGCAUUUGUGUUUGUAUCUAUAUAGUGGGAUGCAUAUGUGUAUGUCUCUAUGUCAUUUAUAUCAUCUCUAUCCACACUCAAUCCAAGUGAGGCAAAGCUACAGAUUUCAGCUAUGCAGAUUGGAGGCCUUGCCAUUAGCACUAGUAGGUACGUGGCAAACUCCUGUGCCACCUAUGUUACAGCUGUAGGACUUGAGGAUGCUUUGGAGAAUGUGUAUUAGUACUGAGACAUGCAUAAUGUAUACUAAUGCUGAGGCAGUCACACAAUGCAUGCUCUCCUUAGGACAGAAUGAAGGAAAAACUGUACCAGAUGUACAUAGCUUGCUCCAAAAGUAAUGCCUCCUAUUUAUU